RNAcentral lists this ribosomal RNA (531 nucleotides) under uncultured bacterium. RNAcentral describes it as "bacterial SSU rRNA". It matches the Rfam family "Bacterial small subunit ribosomal RNA", at positions 777 to 1310 of the family's 1533-position model. The record is from RNAcentral.
AAUAGAUACCCAGGUAGUCCACGCCCUAAACGAUGUCAACUGGUUGUUGGGGGAGUGAAAUCCCUUAGUAACGAAGCUAACGCGUGAAGUUGACCGCCUGGGGAGUACGGUCGCAAGAUUAAAACUCAAAGGAAUUGACGGGGACCCGCACAAGCGGUGGAUGAUGUGGAUUAAUUCGAUGCAACGCGAAAAACCUUACCUACCCUUGACAUGUCCAGAAUCCUGCAGAGAUGCGGGAGUGCCCGAAAGGGAAUUGGAACACAGGUGCUGCAUGGCUGUCGUCAGCUCGUGUCGUGAGAUGUUGGGUUAAGUCCCGCAACGAGCGCAACCCUUAUCAUUAGUUGCUACGCAAGGGCACUCUAAUGAGACUGCCGGUGACAAACCGGAGGAAGGUGGGGAUGACGUCAAGUCCUCAUGGCCCUUAUGGGUAGGGCUUCACACGUCAUACCAAUGGUCGGUACAGAGGGUUGCCAAGCCGCGAGGUGGAGCCAAUCCCAGAAAGCCGAUCGUAGUCCGGAUUGUUCUCUGCAA